RNAcentral lists this transfer RNA (75 nucleotides) under Mastomys erythroleucus (Guinea multimammate mouse). RNAcentral describes it as "tRNA-Leu". It matches the Rfam family "tRNA". From Rfam's summary of the family: Transfer RNA (tRNA) molecules are approximately 80 nucleotides in length. Their secondary structure includes four short double-helical elements and three loops (D, anti-codon, and T loops). Lineage: Eukaryota; Metazoa; Chordata; Mammalia; Rodentia; Muridae. The record is from RNAcentral.
AUUAGGGUGGCAGAGCCGGGAAAUUGCGUAAGACUUAAAACCUUGUCCUCAGAGGUUCAAAUCCUCUCCCUAAUA